AGGAAUUGAACUCAGGACCUCGCACUUGCCAGGCAGGAUGAAAAAAAAACAAAAUCCCAGAAGAGCUACAUUUUCCUUGGAAAGUAUAAGGUUUUCCUGAGCUUGUCCCCUGAUGAAACAAGAGCUUUUUAAAAAUGUACUGUAACAUACAUCUUCAUGAGCACUUCUCCAUGUUUUCACUGAAUGACUUUCUGCCAGUUCUGUAACGAUACUAUUCGUCACUGUUCUCAACUUCGGCAUCUAAAAUUACACACAUGUUUGACAAUUGAAAGAAGAUAAUUCCACCUAGGACUUCAAAGCCACUCUAUCUGCCACUUGGUUGCUCACCUUCUUUCCAGUGUUUCUCUUCCUCCUAUGCAUUCCAUUUGCUGCGAGGGCUGCUGUUCCCCAGUCAGCCAAGGCCAUUAUUCGAGGAAGCAAAAUACUGCCACUGAAAAGUGGCUGAAGAAAAU
This is a long non-coding RNA of Chinchilla lanigera (long-tailed chinchilla), 452 nucleotides long. RefSeq lists it as uncharacterized. The record is from RefSeq and is a predicted model, not a curated record. The transcript is spliced from 3 exons. Lineage: Eukaryota; Metazoa; Chordata; Mammalia; Rodentia; Chinchillidae.